RNAcentral lists this long non-coding RNA (354 nucleotides) under Lupinus angustifolius (narrow-leaved blue lupine). RNAcentral's name for it is "long non-coding RNA (LANG_LNC002830)". The record is from RNAcentral. Lineage: Eukaryota; Viridiplantae; Streptophyta; Magnoliopsida; Fabales; Fabaceae.
UGUAGAUUUUUUGGUUUCCCAUAGGUAUCCUCGCACUGAAGGUAAUCCUGUCCGAGCCGGGCACAUCCACAGGUAAGUGGGGCUAACUCUCCCAACGUGCAUUUUUUCUAUCCACAAGACUCGAACCCGAGUUCUUGCUUAAGAGGAAUCAAGCAUGUACCACUUGAACCAACACUCGUUGGUAUUUUGUGUAGAUUGAUUUGAUAGAGAAAUGAAGAUAGAAUUUUCUUGGUACCAAGCAUCUGACUUCCUAUGAGGGCGAAUUCAUACCUUAUCAGUUAUUGGUUUGUCACUCCUUUUUCAUUCAAAGAUUGAUGAUAAGCAACAAAUCGUCUACUUGUAUAUAAAAAAAUC